This 253-nucleotide ribosomal RNA is filed under the name uncultured bacterium. RNAcentral's name for it is "partial 16S ribosomal RNA". It matches the Rfam family "Bacterial small subunit ribosomal RNA", at positions 524 to 776 of the family's 1533-position model. The record is from RNAcentral.
UACAGAGGUCUCAAGCGUUGUUCGGAAUCACUGGGCGUAAAGGGUGCGUAGGCGGCGGGGAAAGUCAGAUGUGAAAUCCGGAGGCUCAACCUCCGAAUGGCAUCCGAUACUACCUCGCUAGAGAUUUGUAGAGGAGCUUGGAAUUCUCGGUGUAGCAGUGAAAUGCGUAGAUAUCGAGAAGAACGCUCGCAGCGAAGGCGAAGCUCUGGGCAAAAUCUGACGCUGAUGCACGAAGGCUAGGGGAGCAAACGGG